RNAcentral lists this ribosomal RNA (609 nucleotides) under uncultured bacterium. Its description in RNAcentral is "bacterial SSU rRNA". The stretch from base 1 to 520 matches the Rfam family "Bacterial small subunit ribosomal RNA", at positions 338 to 873 of the family's 1533-position model. The record is from RNAcentral.
CCUACGGGAGGCAGCAGUGGGGAAUAUUGGGCAAUGGAGGAAACUCUGACCCAGCGACGCCGCGUGCGGGAUGAAGGCCUUCGGGUUGUAAACCGCUUUCAGUAGGGAAGAAGCGAAAGUGACGGUACCUACAGAAGAAGCACCGGCUAACUAUGUGCCAGCAGCCGCGGUAAUACAUAGGGUGCAAGCGUUGUCCGGAAUUAUUGGGCGUAAAGAGCUCGUAGGUGGUUCGUCACGUCGGAUGUGAAAAUCUGGGGCUCAACCCCAGACCUGCAUUCGAUACGGGCGAUCUAGAGUGUGGUAGGGGAGACUGGAAUUCCUGGUGUAGCGGUGGAAUGCGCAGAUAUCAGGAGGAACACCAAUGGCGAAGGCAGGUCUCUGGGCCAUUACUGACACUGAGGAGCGAAAGCGUGGGGAGCGAACAGGAUUAGAUACCCUGGUAGUCCACGCCGUAAACGGUGGGCACUAGUUGUGGGAACCUUCCACGGUUUCUGCGACGCAGCUACGCAUAGUGCCCGCCGUCGGGUAGGUACGAGUCGCGAGAUUAAACUACAAUAGAAGUUAGACGGCGUGAGACGUGCCGACGGACGACCGACGAGGGAGGUUAGG